CCCGCUCGCGCCUCUCCCUCCAUACCUCCCUGCAAGCUGAGGGAGUGGGCUCCGGCCUUGGCCAGCUCAGAAAGGGGCUCCCACAGUGCAGCGGCGGGCUGAAGGGCUCCUCAAGUGCCGCCAAAGUGGGAGCCCAGGCAGAGGAGGCGCAGAGAGCUAGCGAGGGCUGUGAGGACUGCCAGCACGCUGUCACCUCUCAGUGUCCAGGAAGGAAAUAAUCUGGAGAGAAAGUGAGGCAUUUAUUGCAGGGCACCAAGCAAGGAGAAUUGUGCAGUUCAUCCUGAAGACCCAAACUCCCUGAAGUCUUACAUGAUAUUCCAGACUUGUGCUUCCCUUGCCCCAGUCUUGGAAUCACCCAUUUUGACUCAACCAGUAGACAGGACUAUGGCUGGAUGUUGGAGAGAAGCGGCUUGACUUCAGAAGGACAGCUUGAUGGCGUAACUUCAGAGAAGAAUCCGUCCAGAGAUGGCCAGACUUCAGGGGAAGAUUACCUACCUGCCCCGUCCCCUUUUUACUUCCCCUUCCCACUGAAAGCCACAUUCAUUGGUAAUAAAAUGCCC
This 560-nucleotide long non-coding RNA is filed under the name Homo sapiens (human). RNAcentral's name for it is "HSALNT0125169". Lineage: Eukaryota; Metazoa; Chordata; Mammalia; Primates; Hominidae. The record is from RNAcentral.